Homo sapiens (human) is the source of this 515-nucleotide long non-coding RNA. RefSeq lists it as uncharacterized. NCBI's taxonomy places the organism in Eukaryota, Metazoa, Chordata, Mammalia, Primates, Hominidae. The record is from RefSeq and is a predicted model, not a curated record. The transcript is spliced from 3 exons.
AGCGAUUCUCCUGCCUCAGCCUUCCGAGUAGCUGGGAUUACAGUUUUGGCUUCGUGAUCACGUAAACCAAGAGUCACAAACUGAAAUGCCAUCAAGGGGCCAAGCAGACAGGAUCUUAGCACCUACUAUUUGCAAGACUCCCCCUAUGUUAACCUUUACAGCAACUCUCGGAUGGAUGUUUUAUUAUUGAGAGAACUGAGAGACAGAGGUCAUUAAAUAUUUGUCCAAGAUCCUACAGCCGCAACAUGGUAAAUCCACUGCUAUUGGAACUUCCUGUUAAGUGAGUUCCAUGGCCCCAAACUGCAUUCCCACCCAUGUUGCUCACAGAUUGGUCACAAUGUGGCUCACAGUCAUAGGCACAGGUGAAUGGAUCAACCAUUAUUUUCGAUAAUGAUUCUGGGGUAUCAUCUUUGACUCAAAAACGCAAACUGUUAUUAUUAUCUAUGCAGUCUACAGCCCUCUGCUCUACCAGCUGAGCUAUCGAAGAGUGCACAAGCUGUUAUUAUAUCACAAGA